Solanum stenotomum is the source of this 905-nucleotide long non-coding RNA. RefSeq lists it as uncharacterized. NCBI's taxonomy places the organism in Eukaryota, Viridiplantae, Streptophyta, Magnoliopsida, Solanales, Solanaceae. The transcript is spliced from 2 exons. The record is from RefSeq and is a predicted model, not a curated record.
CUUUUCCCUAGACCCUCAAUCUGGAAAAAGAAAGAAACGUUCUCCUUCCCCAAAGCUUCACUUUUCCCAAAAAACUCCCUUCUUCCCCAUACGCCCCACGCUCCUCUCCCAUCAAUCUCUGCCAAAGAAUGGUUAUGAACCGCCUGAAAAUGUCAAUUUUCGGCGGUUUUCAACAUAUCUCCCUAUCCUCCAUAAAUCACGACCUCCUCCUAUCAAACUUUACAUCCCUUGCAUCAUAUUUUCUGAACCAAAACAGACCUCAAAAGCCUCAUCAGCGCCACUGCUACACCUGAAAAGGUGAAAGACGUGAAGAACCAUCGGAUUUGGGCUCGUUAUCCUCUUAAUCUGAUGGGUGUGAGGUUCCAUCAUUUUUUGAACUUAGUUGAGGCCCCAAAUUGGCUAUAAAAAGAGAACUUUGGCUCUCUUUCAAGCAUCCAACAACGAUCGAAAUCCAUCAAGAAUCGAUCGAAAAAAUCAACUAAGAAAAUCAGAGAGUUUCAGCGAUAGAGAGUAUUUUGCAUCAUAAACAUCUUUCAAGCGUUUAUAAGUUCAAUAACUAUUUCUCUUCUUGUCCUCCUGUUUUCUGUUUUGAAUUAGAGCUCGAGGAAGUUCGAAGGUAAAAUCUCUUGACGAAACGCCCCCUAGUUUGUUGCUCCAAAGAAGGUUUCCCUUGAGUUUAGCAUCACAAACUCAUCGUAGCUUCACUUGUUGAUUAUGAAGCUAGAAUUUACUCUUGAUUACAAGUACGAUUAAAGCACUUCUAAAGUUUAGAUUCAUAUUUUUGCCUUCCAUUGCGUCCUGUCUUGCUUAAAGCUCCCUCACAUUUGCUCGCGUUGAAUCCUUGCUACUAAUACAAGGAGAUUUAGCCUUAACUAUUUAAUAUGACUGAUGUCAUGGUGUGAUAA